Molecule: ribosomal RNA, 513 nt
Filed under: Staphylococcus hyicus
Lineage: Bacteria; Bacillati; Bacillota; Bacilli; Caryophanales; Staphylococcaceae
Description: partial 23S ribosomal RNA
Rfam family: Bacterial large subunit ribosomal RNA
Source: RNAcentral
GUGUUAUCCGCAUGUGAAUACAUAGCAUGUGAGAAGGUAGACCCGGAGAACUGAAACAUCUUAGUACCCGGAGGAAGAGAAAGAAAAAUCGAUUCCCUGAGUAGCGGCGAGCGAAACGGGAAGAGCCCAAACCAACAAGCUUGCUUGUUGGGGUUGUAGGACACUCUGUACGGAGUUACAAAGGAAUAUGUUAGACGAAUAACCUGGAAAGGUUAAUCAUAGAAGGUAAUAAUCCUGUAGUCGAAAACAUAUACCCUCCUGAGUGGAUCCUGAGUACGGCGGAGCACGUGAAAUUCCGUCGGAAUCUGGGAGGACCAUCUCCCAAGGCUAAAUACUCUCUAGUGACCGAUAGUGAACCAGUACCGUGAGGGAAAGGUGAAAAGCACCCCGGAAGGGGAGUGAAAGAGAACUUGAAACCGUGUGCUUACAAGUAGUCAGAGCCCGUUAAUGGGUGAUGGCGUGCCUUUUGUAGAAUGAACCGGCGAGUUACGAUCUGAUGCAAGGGUAAGCAGA